UGGCUUUUUCCUUACGGUGUCCCCUGAAUCUAUUCAGCUUGUUGCUGAGCAUGCUGCUGCAAAUAACAAGGUAAGGUUCAGAACAGAAAAGUUCCCUGUGAAGUGGCGGUCGCCAGUGUUUGUAAUCGACCAUUUUGUUUCCAGGUUUUCUUGAUGAACCUCUCCGCUCCCUUUAUCUGUGAGUUUUUCCGUGAUGCCCAAGAGAAGGUUCUUCCGUAAGUUUACCUGCUCCUCUGUGAUGCUAAAUGUUUUGGACAUUAUUUGAGAUACUGUACAUGAGCUUAACUCAAAAUGCAUAAGCAAUGUCAAGAGAUGUUCCCAUGUUUGCCACAUCCUAAUCUUUCAGCCUGUUAAAGUUUGGUAGUUUAUAGAGAUUUUGGGUCAUUUGGUUAAGACAUGUUUUGUGACCACUUCAGGUAUUCUGACUACAUCUUUGGAAAUGAAACCGAGGCAAGGAUCUUCUCUAAAGUCCGAGGGUGGGAGGUAAUCACUCAAUCCUUGUAAAAUGAUUUUAUUUGCUUAUUGUGCUGCUGAAAAAUUACAUGUAAUUUUGUAGACUGAGAAUGUCGAGGAGAUCGCUUUGAAGAUCUCACAACUGCCUCUGGCUUCUGGAAAACAAAAGAGGAUUGCUGUGAUUACUCAGGGUGCUGAUCCAGUAGUUGUGGCUGAGGAUGGGAAGGUAUAUAUUUUUUUUCAGUUUGAUGCAUGUCAGUUGCAUUAUAGGCUCAUCCUUUAUUCAUACAUAUUUAGUUAUAGCAACCUGCUGGUAUGCAACUGCUUGUUUGAAAGUAAAUAACCUAUAUAUUUCUGUUGGAUUUUGUCCAAUUAUAGGCUGUGGGACAAAAAUAGGAAAAUUGCAUAUUUUAAGGAUAGCUAAUUCUUUCCUUUGACAAUAAAUCUGCCGUUGUGGGCAUAUUUGCAAAGCAAUCUGUUUUUGUCACAGUUGUUUGCUUAUUCAAAUGUCACAUCAAAAUUUUGAUUCAUCACAGAACGGGCACUUAAAACUUCAUGUAGAAUUUAGUUGAGUCAAUCUAUGUGAAGAUAAUAUGCGAAACCUAAAUAUUAUUAUGUUUUUGAAUAGGUAAAAACAUUCCCUGUGAUCCUAUUGCCCAAGGAGAAGCUUGUUGACACCAAUGGCGCUGGUAUGCUUUUUCUUUUGUAUAAUGAGUUGAUUUAAUCUUUCUGUUGCUUCAGAACUAGCCACUGUUAUAAGGACACUGCUUAAAAAGUUGCUUUCAUUACAUAUUAUUAAAUAUUGAAAAAGCUCAUGUAAAUCUAAUAGUCCCUCCGAUCCAUGUCGCUGAUUUAGUACAUUUUACUAAAAUGAUGUUAUGUAUUUAUCAAAACAAUCUUGACGUAAGCUAAUUAACUAAAUUCUCAUGAUAAUAUAAAAAAGGAACAUCUGCACCAGUUGUUGAUGGCACUAAUUGAUCAAAUGUAUAAUUGAGCUGUUUCAGUUGUGCAAGAAAUGCCACUAUAUUUUGAGUCACAAUUCUAAGAAGAGUCUCCUCCCGGAUAUUCAUCUGUAGCAGUAUCUAGCUGCACAAUUACCUGAUAUUGAGAAUUCAGCAUUCAUGACAAUCUGAGACAGAUGCAUGCUUGGUGAACAUAUUCAUUAAAAUUGCUGCAGAAACAGCAGUCUGAUUUGUAAUUUGGAUACCGGGUGUCAGUUACGAUUUUGCUGCUGCCCCUGACUUGUUACACCCCGUUUCUUAUUAGGUGAUGCGUUUGUUGGCGGCUUCCUCUCUCAGUUGGUUCAAGGGAAGAGCAUCGAGGACUGCGUAAAGGCCGGUUGCUACGCAGCAAACGUUAUCAUCCAGCAAUCUGGCUGCACUUACCCUGAGAAGCCUGACUUCAACUAGACCAAAUUCAGCGAUUCUACGGAAAGCAACACUUAACCGCUUGAUGGUUCGGCUUGUUCUCCCUGUAUUAUUUUGAGGCUUUCCAUCUGAUCCGGCCUAAUUUUCGGCCGUGGAUAUCUGUUGUACUGCUAUAAUCGGUACCUUUAUCUUUGGUAUAAGGCAUGGUUGCCAUUAUAUGGGGUGUUACUUGUGGCCGUCUUAUCCAAGUAUAUGCCGAAGCGUGGUCAGACCGACGAUAGUGCUUGAAGGCAGUGGAAUUUUAUGGACGUGUUUGUUUUGUGAGAAGUAUGGCAUAGUGUGGCUAAUGGUAUGUCUGUCAGUGAACCAAGGGCAUUAUUUGCCUGUCGUGGCUAGAAAUAGUGCAGUGCGAAUGUAAGUUGCUCCUUGUGACAAACUGCGUGUUCAGAUCAAGAAGCCCCUGCUGCCUGCUACAAGGACAGGUUCCAACUAUAUAUAGUUCGCUGUGCUAGGUUUGUUUCCCUUAUGACAAACAUCGUGUGUGCUUAAC
RNAcentral lists this long non-coding RNA (2370 nucleotides) under Triticum aestivum (bread wheat). RNAcentral describes it as "long non-coding RNA (TAES_LNC010484)". Lineage: Eukaryota; Viridiplantae; Streptophyta; Magnoliopsida; Poales; Poaceae. The record is from RNAcentral.